AAGGCUAUAUUUCCAGGGAUCAUUUCCAUAGUUUAUUACUAGAGGAGUUAAUCUGAAUGUGUAGAGCACGAGAAACCACGAGGAGGAGGUGCAGAGUUCUUUCCUGAGCAUGAAGCCGACCCUAGGUAUCGUGUUGCCUCACUGCAACUGCCAUUUGCCAUUGAUGAUGAUUGUUCUUCUCUUCCUCUGAGAGAAUAAGAGGAGAGGAUGCCUUCUGAAUGGC
Small nucleolar RNA from Aotus nancymaae (Ma's night monkey), 223 nucleotides. Its record names the gene U3. It matches the Rfam family "Small nucleolar RNA U3". From Rfam's summary of the family: Small nucleolar RNAs (snoRNAs) are involved in the processing and modification of rRNA in the nucleolus. There are two main classes of snoRNAs: the box C/D class, and the box H/ACA class. The record is from Ensembl. Lineage: Eukaryota; Metazoa; Chordata; Mammalia; Primates; Aotidae.